NNNNNNNNNNNNNNNNNNNNNNNNNNNNNNNNNNNNNNNNNNNACAUGGGACCCGCGAAGCCUGGCCGCGGGCGCCGCGUCACCGGGGGGUCCCGGGGCGCCCAUGACCUCGGGGUGCCCUUGUCCCCAGGGUUCCUGGUGUCCCCAAGGUGCCCACAUCCCCGGGGUGCCCUUGUCCCCAGAGUUUCCGGUGUCCCCAAGGUGCCCAUGUGCUCGGGGUGCCCCUUGCGCCCCAUGUCCCCAGGGUUCCUGCUGUCCCCAGGGAUCCCGGUGUCCCCAGGGUGCCCAUGUACUCGUCUCGCUGGUGUCCCUGGGGCGCCCAUGUGUCCAGUGUGCCUGCUGCUCCUGGUGUCCUGGUUCCUGGUGUCCCCCUAGGUGCCCACGUGCCCGGGGUACCUGCAUCCCCAGGGUGCCCGUGUCCCCAGUAUCCCUGGUGUCCCCAGGGUGCUCAUUGUCCCUGGGGUGCACAAGUGCUCGGUGUCUCCAGGGUGCCCAGGGUCCCCAGGGUUCCCAGUAUCCCCAGUGUCUCCGGGGUGCCUGGUGUCCCUGGGGUCCCCAUGUCCCUGGUGUUCCCAGGGUGCCCAGUGUCCCCGGGGUGCCUGGUGUCCCCGGUGUCCCCAGCUCACCGGCGGGGCAGGAGCAGCUGAAGCCGUUGACGCCGUCGUGGCAGCGGCCACCGUUGACACAGGGGCUGCUCUGGCACUCGUCCACGUCGAGCUCGCAGAAGGUGCCGCUGAACCCUGCGGGCCACCCGCGUCACCCGUGGUGCCACCCCCAAGGUGCCACCGUGCCGCGGCCACCCCCACGGUGCCACCCUGCAAUGCCACCCCAGUGGUGUCACCCCCAAGCAACUCGUUGUGCAUCAGGGUGUCYCCAAGCCAAGGGGUGCCCCGGGGGAGGCAGGGAUGGCGCCAGUGGCCCUGCCAGCACAGGGGACCGGGGCAGGGACGGUGCCAGGGCCAGGGGAUGGUGGCAGUCCCAUACCAGCUCCCAUGCCAGGACAUGGGACCAUGCCAAGUCCCAUGUCAAGGACAGGAGAUGGUGGCAGCCCCGUGCCAGCUCUCCUGCCAGGACAAGGGACCAUGCCAGGUCCCAUACCAGGGCCAGGGGACAGUGAUAGUCCUGUGCCAGCUCCCCUACCAAGACAG
This 1148-nucleotide long non-coding RNA is filed under the name Apteryx haastii (Great spotted kiwi). RNAcentral's name for it is "lncRNA (ENSAHAG00000001154.1)". Lineage: Eukaryota; Metazoa; Chordata; Aves; Apterygiformes; Apterygidae. The record is from RNAcentral.